RNAcentral lists this long non-coding RNA (853 nucleotides) under Physcomitrium patens. RNAcentral's name for it is "long non-coding RNA (PPAT_LNC010822)". Lineage: Eukaryota; Viridiplantae; Streptophyta; Bryopsida; Funariales; Funariaceae. The record is from RNAcentral.
AAACCAACUGUAAAUUUACUCCCGAACUUUUGGCAUCUAAGAAACCCUAGCAGACACUCCAAACCCUAAUUUACAAGCAUCUGAAAAACUAUUUUCCUUAUAUCUCAAAAAUCCGAACUCCAAAUGUCAUAAAACUUAUGCACAAAGUUUACUAACAUGAAAUUACACAUCCAUUGAAAUUUUGAGCCAAAACUUUAUCAAAUUGCUCAAGAUAUAGCUCAAGAAACAAACACUAGUAAAUCGGUUUACUUACUACCCUUAGAUUGCAUGUGCUGACUUCAAAAUCCAAUAACUCCUUCAUCCCAACUUAGAAUCCAGUAAGCAGUAUGUGAAAAGUAUUGCCGCAAAAGUGCUCUCUUCAAUCGCGGUUGCCGAUCCUCAAUUGCCAUCCGUACGCAUGCGUUAUGCCUAAAAGAGUGACAGUAGGUCCAAAACUAACACCUUAACUUUGAGCGCCUAUAACUUCUUCAUAAAAACCCCAAAUGACACAAAACUUGCACCAAAACCUUAACCAAAAACCUAAACCUUCUGACCUUAGCCUUCAAAGUUCGAAUGGGCUCGAAAAACUAACCCUAAUCCCUAUUAUGGCCUCGGGCAGCCUACUCAAAGCCCAUUGGUCAUGAUUUUUGACCAAUAGGAAUGGAGAUUUUUAUUUUUCAUCUCCAUUCAUCUAUAUUGGUGCCCUAAUUACUCCCUUUGCUACCAAAAUCCUUCUUCAAUCUUUUUUCUUAUAAGAUUUACAUAAUGUAUGCUCUAAACACCAAAUAAAAGAAUCAAAAUAAGUUUUCAAAUGUCACCAAUGUCUAACAAAGGUGACUCUAAAUAUUUAGAAGUUACUAUCAACCAAAACCAA